GCUAGAAUGAACGGAUAAACGAAAUAAAAACUGUCUCAAUCAACAAACCUAAAAAUUAAUAUCUACAUGAAGAACUGUAGAUAAAAUCGAAGGACAAGAAGACCCUAUAGAGCUUUAUUUAAACCACAGAAUAUAACUGUAUAAAAAUUCGGUUGGGGCGACCUAGGACACUAUAAAACACCCUAAAAAACAAAGAUAAAUAAAUCUACUAAAUGACCCUUUAUAAGAUCACAAGAUCAAGCUACCUUAGGGAUAACAGGCUAAUCCCAUUUAAGAGUCCAUAUCAAUAAUGGGGUUUGGCACCUCGAUGUUGGCUUA
Molecule: ribosomal RNA, 318 nt
Filed under: Megascolecidae sp. 3 SB-2015
Lineage: Eukaryota; Metazoa; Annelida; Clitellata; Crassiclitellata; Megascolecidae
Description: partial 16S ribosomal RNA
Rfam family: Bacterial large subunit ribosomal RNA
Source: RNAcentral